Small nucleolar RNA from Hibiscus syriacus, 97 nucleotides. RefSeq annotates it as small nucleolar RNA snoR27. Lineage: Eukaryota; Viridiplantae; Streptophyta; Magnoliopsida; Malvales; Malvaceae. The transcript has a single exon. The record is from RefSeq and is a predicted model, not a curated record.
UUUGGGUUCAAAGAUGUUAAUUUUAUACUGCGUUAUCUAUCUGAUCGUCCUUUUCAAAGGAACUGAAGAUAAUACUAAUCUCAUACUGAGAUCCAUU